CCUCCCCCACCCCCCCAGGCCAGAAGCUGGGUAAGGCUUGCCCCUCCCCCUAGGCCAGAAGCUGGGUAAGGCUAGCCCCUCCCCCUAGUCCAUAAGCAUAAGCUAGGUAUGACUCCCCCUCGGCCAGAAGCUGGGUAUGACUAAACCCCCCCCCCCCCCCCCCCUAGGCCAGAAACUGGGUAUGACUUGCCUCUCCCCCCUCUUACCAAGGCAAGAAGCUGGGUAAGGCUUGGGGCUUGCCCCUCCCCCCAGGCUUUAAGCUGGGUAUGACUUAUCUUUCUUAUGUCUUAAAGAUUAACGUAGAUACUAGUUUUAUUGCAUUUUCUACAACAGUACUGAUCCUCAUUGUGGUCAAAUGAUAAAGUUAUAGACGCUUCCCUUAGGCCCUUUUCACACGUCCCGGUUGCCGGCUAACCGGCGCGCCGGGUAUCCGGUGGUGAAGUGUAUGGGCAUGGCAUGGUACGUAGCGUUCACAUGUUCCGGCGUAGUUAAUCCGGCAUACCCAUACACUUCACCACCGCGUACCCGGCGCCGGUUAGCCGGCAACCGGAACAUGUGAAAAGGGCCUUAGAGUGACGUCAUAUCGCCAGCGGCAAACUUAAAGCGAACGGAUAGUAAUUCAUUAAUCAUUUACCAAAUAUGUAAAAAUAUAUAAUUUAAAUUUGUUUUGUAUAGAGGUUCUAUUUUUAGUCUACGAAUUGAAAACGACCCUGCUCUACAUUUUUGCAUCUUUUUUUAAAUGCAUAGCUAUUAUUUUCAUAGUCAUACUUAGUAUAGUACGUUCGUUACAAACCACACAACACUGAAACGGCCGACUGGUUAUAUAAAUUAUAUGAAAUA
Long non-coding RNA from Ostrinia nubilalis (European corn borer), 840 nucleotides. RefSeq lists it as uncharacterized. The record is from RefSeq and is a predicted model, not a curated record. The transcript has 2 exons. NCBI's taxonomy places the organism in Eukaryota, Metazoa, Arthropoda, Insecta, Lepidoptera, Crambidae.